Molecule: ribosomal RNA, 250 nt
Filed under: uncultured bacterium
Lineage: Bacteria
Description: partial 16S ribosomal RNA
Rfam family: Bacterial small subunit ribosomal RNA
Source: RNAcentral
UACGGAGGGUGCAAGCGUUGUUCGGAAUUACUGGGCGUAAAGCGUGUUUAGGCGGAUCUGCAAGUCAGAUGUGAAAUCCCCCGGCUUAACUGGGGAGGGUCGUUUGAUACUACAGGUCUUGAGUUUCGGGGAGGUGAGUGGAAUUCCCAGUGUAGAGGUGAAAUUCGUAGAUAUUGGGAGGAACACCAGAGGCGAAAGCGACUCACUAACCGAAUACUGACGCUGUUACACGAAAGCGUGGGUAGCAAAC